UGAUUGCAAGAUCGAGAAUGUCUUGUGAUCCGUUGUGAUGUGUGUGGAUUGGCGUGUUAUCAUUGAAGACAAAUAAUUUGUUGUUAUCAAUGAAAUCGUGAAGAAUAUUGCCAUUACGGUUUGUUUUUCGGCAGUUAAAUUCGGAAUGUUUCGAGUUAAGGUCACCUAGUAUAAUUGCGUGCAUAUUUUGAUUGAUUGAAGAAGGUGGAUAUCAGGUUCUUUGCUGGGUGAUAUGUAAGUGGCAAGUAGUGCGAUUGUUGCGUGAUGGGGAGUGUGAAUGUUACAUAUAUACGGUUCGAAGAAGGUGAAUAUCAGGUUUUUUGCUGGGUGAUAUGUAAGUGGCAUGUAGUGCGAUUGUUGCGUGAUGGGGAGUGUGAAUGUUACAUAAGAUGUAUUCAUUGUUUGAGUUUAUGUUUAGAUUCGGAAAUGAGACUUUAAGGUCUUUCUUGACAAGUAACAUUAGCCCUUGAGAAUUCUGUGAUUUAGGUAUAGCGUUAAUGUAAUAGCUAGGGAAGGAGAAAUGACUAUUAGGUGAUAAAAAGGUUUCAUUGACUGCUAUUAUAUCUGCAUUUAAAUUUUGGUUAAAUAGUUCGUAUUUUUUAUCAUUUAACCCACCUUGAAUGUUAAUUUGCAAAAAUGUAAGCAUUUUACCUUGACCUAGGAGCAGUGAGGUUAAUCCUUCCAUCGAUUAAGUUCUUCAAGUCGUAGGGGUCAACUCUAUGGAGGGCGAAGUAAUAUCCGGCAGCAUGGCAGCCGUCAUUUAGUAGGUCUCCAGACGUAACAAUUUCCUUUCUGUUGAGACGGGAUAGGAUAUCCACGACAAAGGCUGUGAUGCAGUUGGCGAGGUUCGAAGAUUGGGACGAAGAUAUUGCAGUGUCUGUGUAAGUCCUAAAGCAGCUGGGUCCUGGAUCUGGUCUGGUUGGCUUCUGCUCAGGUGGUGGUCCUAGGUUCAUGGAGAGCUGGUGGCAGGCUUACUGGGCUUCGAUGGACGAGGCUCUGUGGGUUGGUCCAUUGGUUGCUUGGGCUAACCUGAAUGGCUGUUGGUUGUUGGGGCACCCACGGUAGGAGGAGAGGCGGCAUGCGGUCCUCCACAGUUGGAGCAUGUGGCUUUGUGUCACUGUCUUGGGCAUUCAGCUACUUCACUCUGGACGUACACACAGAAUGGGUGUGGCCAAACUUUUGGUAGUGAAAGCAUUGUAGAAAAGUUGGUUGUCUCGGUCUUGCAGACUCAACUGGAUGAUGGAUAUACCACAGGUUAGCACCUUUCUUGAUGAGAUCAGUUGCGUGGUUUAUGUUGGAUAGGCUGACUCAUACUAGGAGGGUUUCUUGACCAGUUUUGGCAGAUUUUAUCCUUUCAGCUUUGGUGGCUGAGAUGUCUUGAUAUUUUAGUUCUUGGAGUAUUUCUUCUGUAGUUAUGUCCAGUGGGACGCUUCUAAUUAUGAUGGCAUGUGAGGCUUCUGGCUGGUGGUCUCCAGGGACAUGGAUGUUUAGUUUGACAUUCUGGAAGGUUGCGGAGUCCUAUGGUUUAAGGAGCUUGGCGUAUUCUGCAGGGGUGUUAGUUUUAUUAACUCCUCCUUUGACUAAUCUUCGGACGGUCAUGAAGCAAAUCUUUGGGAAGAGUCUUAGUUUGCAGGCUUUUAUUGGGUGUCUUAAGUUAGCAUAAAUUCCUUUCACGACAAUCCUCCAGCAAUUGUCGUGAAAGGAAUUCAUUUGAGUUGCUGGCUGGCAGUCAUUGAUACUUGAGAUUCCGUGGGUUGCUUGCUUGUUGGUGAGCUGGCUGCUUGGUCAGUUAGUGUGGAUCUCUUGCUGUAUCUCGUGGUGCUGGGCGAGUUGUUUGGAUAUACUUGACUUGAACUGCUGGAGGCCAGUUCGAUACAACUCUGGAUCAUGGUGAGCUGUUUGGCAUUAGACAAGGGCUUACUGGUCAAUCUGGUACCCAUUUGUGAUGGGGUAACUGGAGUUGGUGAGUCCUCGGUGGAUUGGAGUUUUAGUUCCAGAUCUGGACUGGAACUUACUUCUCCACCCGAUGUCGUGGUAGGGAAGGAGAUAUUUGCUAAAUUAGUGUGAGUCGAGUUAUCAGUUUAAGAGCUAAGUUUGACACAAUGUCCUCUCACUGUUGCUCUUUUCUCUCUCUCUUGAUUCUUCUAAAAGGUAAAAAAAAACACAUCGUGUCGUAAUAGAUCUUUUAAACUAUCUCUCUGAAAUUUAAUAGAUGUGUUUAAUAUUCAAGGCUCAAUACCAGUAGUCUGCAAACCCUUGAAAAACGCGUAUGCCAAGAUAUCCGGUUUAAGUAAAUAAUUAUGUUUUUACUGGGUUUGUAUUAGUCGUCAUUUCAAGAAAUUGUUUCAUUACUAUUACCACGAAUACACUGAAAAAUUCUACCAGGAAAUUCAUUUUACACACAAAAUCGCGGGAAAAUUCGUGAAGUUUAUGUGAUUCGGUGAUGUUUCUAGGACACAGAUGGCGGAAAAACGAAUUAUUGUCAGCGCCAAAAAACACACACACCAGUUAAUUUUGGCGCAUUUGGCACGCCAGUAUGCGUAUCUUAUGCAUAAACAAUGUUUUGUAUACAUUGAUCGUUUUAUUUACCGGUAAUUUUUAUGAAGUAUGAAGGUCACUGUAAUAGAUUA
This 2630-nucleotide long non-coding RNA is filed under the name Limulus polyphemus (Atlantic horseshoe crab). RNAcentral's name for it is "uncharacterized LOC111086478". Lineage: Eukaryota; Metazoa; Arthropoda; Merostomata; Xiphosura; Limulidae. The record is from RNAcentral.